GCCCUAAGUAGCUUAAACCCAGCAAUAAAGCUUUGGCCUUGUAAACCAACGAUGGGAUGCAAUCCCCUAGGGCA
This 74-nucleotide transfer RNA is filed under the name Phyllodactylus unctus (San Lucan gecko). RNAcentral describes it as "tRNA-Thr". The record is from RNAcentral. Lineage: Eukaryota; Metazoa; Chordata; Lepidosauria; Squamata; Phyllodactylidae.